Molecule: ribosomal RNA, 592 nt
Filed under: Potamophilinus sp. JK022
Lineage: Eukaryota; Metazoa; Arthropoda; Insecta; Coleoptera; Elmidae
Description: SSU rRNA
Rfam family: Eukaryotic small subunit ribosomal RNA
Source: RNAcentral
UUGUCUCAAAGAUUAAGCCAUGCAUGUCUCAGUACAAGCCUAAUUAAGGUGAAACCGCGAAAGGCUCAUUAAAUCAGUUAUGGUUCCUUAGAUCGUACCCACAUUUACUUGGAUAACUGUGGUAAUUCUAGAGCUAAUACAUGCAAACAGAGCUCCGACCGGAGACGGAAGGAGCGCUUUUAUUAGAUCAAAACCAAUCGGCGGCGGGUUCGCCCGUUCGUCGUACAACUUGGUGAAUCUGAAUAACUUUCUGCUGAUCGCAUGGUCUCGCACCGGCGACGCAUCUUUCAAAUGUCUGCCUUAUCAACUGUCGAUGGUAGGUUCUGCGCCUACCAUGGUUGUAACGGGUAACGGGGAAUCAGGGUUCGAUUCCGGAGAGGGAGCCUGAGAAACGGCUACCACAUCCAAGGAAGGCAGCAGGCGCGCAAAUUACCCACUCCCGGCACGGGGAGGUAGUGACGAAAAAUAACGAUACGGGACUCAUCCGAGGCCCCGUAAUCGGAAUGAGUACACUCUAAACCCUUUAACGAGGAUCAAUUGGAGGGCAAGUCUGGUGCCAGCAGCCGCGGUAAUUCCAGCUCCAAUAGCGUAU